This 292-nucleotide ribosomal RNA is filed under the name uncultured bacterium. RNAcentral's name for it is "partial 16S ribosomal RNA". It matches the Rfam family "Bacterial small subunit ribosomal RNA", at positions 505 to 796 of the family's 1533-position model. The record is from RNAcentral.
GUGCCAGCAGCCGCGGUAAUACGUAGGUGGCAAGCGUUGUCCGGAUUUACUGGGCGUAAAGGGCUUGUAGGCGGUUCGUUAAGUCCGGUGUGAAAUCUCCCGGCUCAACUGGGAGGGGUCAUCGGAUACUGGCGGACUUGAGGUGGGCAGAGGAAAGCAGAAUUCCCGGUGUAGCGGUGAAAUGCGUAGAUAUCGGGAGGAAUACCAGUGGCGAAGGCGGCUUUCUGGGCCUAUCCUGACGCUGAGGAGCGAAAGCGUGGGGAGCAAACCGGAUUAGAAACCCGCGUAGUCC